RNAcentral lists this ribosomal RNA (119 nucleotides) under Marinobacterium jannaschii. Lineage: Bacteria; Pseudomonadati; Pseudomonadota; Gammaproteobacteria; Oceanospirillales; Oceanospirillaceae. The record is from RNAcentral.
UGCUUGGCGACCAUAGAGCCGUGGAACCACCUGAUCCCAUCCCGAACUCAGAAGUGAAACGUGGCAUCGCCGAUGGUAGUGUGGGGUCUCCCCAUGUGAGAGUAGGUCAUCGCCAAGCA